UAGGGAAUCUUCGGCAAUGGGGGGAACCCUGACCGAGCAACGCCGCGUGAGUGAAGAAGGUUUUCGGAUCGUAAAGCUCUGUUGUUAAGGAAGAACGAGUGUGAGAAUGGAAAGUUCAUGCUGUGACGGUACUUAACCAGAAAGGGACGGCUAACUACGUGCCAGCAGCCGCGGUAAUACGUAGGUCCCGAGCGUUGUCCGGAUUUAUUGGGCGUAAAGCGAGCGCAGGCGGUUAGAAAAGUCUGAAGUGAAAGGCAGUGGCUCAACCAUUGUAGGCUUUGGAAACUGUUUAACUUGAGUGCAGAAGGGGAGAGUGGAAUUCCAUGUGUAGCGGUGAAAUGCGUAGAUAUAUGGAGGAACACCGGUGGCGAAAGCGGCUCUCUGGUCUGUAACUGGCGCUGAGGCUCGAAAGCGUGGGGAGCGAACAGG
RNAcentral lists this ribosomal RNA (429 nucleotides) under Bacteroidota bacterium. RNAcentral describes it as "Bacteroidetes bacterium partial 16S ribosomal RNA". It matches the Rfam family "Bacterial small subunit ribosomal RNA", at positions 355 to 776 of the family's 1533-position model. The record is from RNAcentral. Lineage: Bacteria; Pseudomonadati; Bacteroidota.